RNAcentral lists this long non-coding RNA (959 nucleotides) under Rattus norvegicus (Norway rat). RNAcentral's name for it is "long non-coding RNA NONRATT007161". The record is from RNAcentral. Lineage: Eukaryota; Metazoa; Chordata; Mammalia; Rodentia; Muridae.
UGGAGCUGGGGACCGAACCCAGGGCCUUGCGCUUCCUAGGUAAGCACUCUACCACUGAGCUAAAUCCCCAGCCCCCACAGUACUGGUUUUUGAGGGCCUGAUUUUGCUUUAUCUUUUGAGUCAGGGUCAUAUGUAGCCUAGGCUGGCCUAGAACUUUUGCUAAAAAUGAUACUGACCUCCAGUCAUUCUGUUUCCUCCCGUGCUUGAAUGACAGUGUGUGCCACCAUGCUUGGCUGCGUGUGUUUCUGUCUGUCUGUAGGUUGGUUGGUUGUUCAGUUGGUUGUUUUAAUGGAGCCCUGGCUAACCUGGAACUCAGGAUAUGGCCAGGUUGACCUUGAACUAAUGGCAGUCCUUCUGCCUUUGUCCAUGAGUGCUAGGAUUAUGGGCUUGAGCCACCACUCCCAGCUGUUCUGAAAUUCAUUGGAGUGCCAGCUGCCUGCUUGGUGGAAAGAGAAUGUUAAAUAAGGUCGUUGCUCAGAGUUUUACAUUUUUAACUUUUGGUACCUAGGUGCUUUGUAAAAUACUCAGAUAAAUACCCAUUAAGCUCUCCUAAGGUCAUUUGAAAUAGUGAAAAAAGUACGUGUAGUUAUUUCUGCUUGUCAUUAUAUCAAUAGUUCUGCUCUAGGCUUUUUGAGAAAGCAACUUCCUCUUCAUCUCCCCACCCCCACCCCUACCCCCUGCAGUGUCUAAGCCUCCAGAGCUGAGGUAAGACUUUCAGAUCUGAACAAGUGUAUGUGCUUUACUGUAACUGCCUCACACCUCUUGCCUAGAGUUUGAAUCUUCACAGUGAGAAAAGAAUGUUUUCUACGUCCUUGUCCUCAGUUCCGCUGCAGUAUAGUAAAUGCUUACGUUUUUGUUUAAUUGCACUUCUUCCGUAGUUUAAAUUUUUAAAAGUUGUAUCUAAUGUCUUUUAAACAUUAUUUGACUAUAUGGUUACAUUAAAUUUUGUUUACCAAAAA